This 498-nucleotide ribosomal RNA is filed under the name uncultured bacterium. RNAcentral describes it as "partial 16S ribosomal RNA". It matches the Rfam family "Bacterial small subunit ribosomal RNA", at positions 30 to 523 of the family's 1533-position model. The record is from RNAcentral.
AUUGAACGCUGGCGGCAUGCCUUACACAUGCAAGUCGAACGGUAACAGGUCUUCGGAUGCUGACGAGUGGCGAACGGGUGAGUAAUACAUCGGAACGUGCCUAGUAGUGGGAGAUAACUACUCGAAAGAGUGGCCAAUACCGCAUGAGAUCUACGGAUGAAAGCAGGGGAUCGCAAGACCUUGUGCUACUAGAGCGGCCGAUGGCAGAUUAGGUAGUUGGUGGGAUAAAAGCUUACCAAGCCGACGAUCUGUAGCUGGUCGGAGAGGAAGAGCAGCCACACUGGGACUGAGACACGGCCCAGACUCCUACGGGAGGCAGCAGUGGGGAAUUUUGGACAAUGGGCGAAAGCCUGAUCCAGCAAUGCCGCGUGCAGGAUGAAGGCCUUCGGGUUGUAAACUGCUUUUGUACGGAACGAAAAGCCCCGGGUUAAUACCCUGGGGUCAUGACGGUACCGUAAGAAUAAGCACCGGCUAACUACGUGCCAGCCGCCGCCGUAA